Molecule: long non-coding RNA, 215 nt
Filed under: Elaeis guineensis (African oil palm)
Lineage: Eukaryota; Viridiplantae; Streptophyta; Magnoliopsida; Arecales; Arecaceae
Description: long non-coding RNA (EGUI_LNC004895)
Source: RNAcentral
CCAGCAAUGGAUACAAACUCUUGACCUAAUCCUAAUCCGAUCAGAUUAGGUCAGCUCAAGAGUUUCAAUCAACUAGGACUCUUCCUAAUUAAUUUUUGAAUUAAACUCUUUUAAUUUUGAUGUCUAGCAACAUGUCAUGACUACCUAAAAGAUUUAAAAUUUUGAUAAAAAAUUAUCAAAAUAUCCUUUAAUGGUAAGUGUUGGUGCAAAAAUCC